CGGAUCCCAAGACUUACGGUCUCCGUCCCCGAUUAUGGCUCCUGCUUCCGGUCGAUAUUUCUGUUCUAUUUUAUUACCUUUAUUGAAAAUUAUCUUUGGAAGAGUUCGAUCAGUGCAUAUUCACAGCAAGGAAACAAGCGUUUAAGUUAGUCGAAAUCUUUUUUGUCCAAUUAUUUAGCCAAUCAAGAUAUGCUAUCCUUUCCCGGUGCGCUCGCCCAGGCGCUGCCCGAGGGCAAAGAGGGACCAUUGAACCGGCCUGGCCAGGUAAUGGUAAGUGAACCAGAAACAGCGAACGCCUUAUGUCAGUCUUGCCAACCAAGAAGAAUUGUUUUUAGUGUGUUGGUGGUGGUGCGGAUGCAAUGGCCAGGUGUGAGGGAGGAUGGUAGCGAUAUCACGCAAGGUUUUUCAAGAAGCGUUGUGUGACAAAUUGUGUACAUUUACAUGACAAUGACACCCGCUGUCCCGUGAACAUUGCAGUGAACCUACUCUCGAUAAUUUUUUUUUCUUCCAGGUUUAUUUGUCGUCACCUGAGCGACAUCUGAGCACAAGAUUCUACGUGUAAGCAAAGAACGCAAACAUACAUGAUUUAUCAGUGCUUAUACCGGUGAACUAUAUCAGUAUUUUGUCUUGAACGAUCGGCAGGUGUUGAACUGUUCCCAAUAUAUUGACAGAGCUGAGUCUCAAGUUGAUUAUUCUCUAAGUUCCACCAGUCAGACAUUACCAUGAGCUUUUCCUGACCAAUAUAUAUAUGGCCAGUCCAGGAAACAAGGAGCUUUCUGUCUCACAGUCUGAAAGUGAAGUGGUGACUGAGGAAGAGGUUGCUCUCAUGACAUCUGGAAGAGAUAACUUGACAGUAGAUCAGGGGAAUAACUUCUUAGACACUGGCUCAGUAUGUAUCAAUUUACGAGAUGAAGAGGAUGAUUUCUUUGAUGGCAGCAGCAUCACUUGUACCUAUGAUACUCAAGAUGGUGUAGCUCACAAGAAAGGAGUGUUUCUUCCUGGACUGAAGGUUAUUGCAACCAUUACUGAUGUGGAACGUGCACCAAGAACACAUCCAUUCAAUCCUAACUUAUACACCAUUAAGCUAAGUCAUGGCAGUUUUACUUGGGUGAUCAGGCGUCGUUAUAAGCACUUCUUAAAACUUGAUGCAGAGCUAUUCCUUCACAAAGUAAAUGUGCAUCGGCACACCAUAAGAGGGGAGCAUAGAGGAGAGCAUCACGCUCGCCUGCCAAGUCGUCACUUGCCCAAGCGACCUGACAUGUUUACAACAACAAUCAACAUGGACAAGAGAAUAAAGUCUCUGGAAAAAUACCUGCAAGUGAUUCUUGACAGCCCAAACUAUCGUAAUCACAAAGAGACACUGAACUUUUUGGAGGUCAGCCAUCUAUCCUUUCAUUUUGAUUUGGGAGAGAAAGGAAGGGAAGGUAUCCUGAGAAAGCGAGCAGGAGGUCAUCGGUUUCCAGCAGGUUGCUGCAGUUGUUGUGCAGGACUUUCUUGGGGAAUUUGGGACAAAAGGUGGCUGUUGGUGAAAGAUAGUUUUAUUGCUUAUGUCAGCCCCAAGGAUAAACAAGUCAGAGGUGUGGUGUUGAUGGACAAAGAAUUCACCUUCAAGUAUGGAAGGAAACAAACAGGAGUGCGACGAGGCUUGCUGAUUCACAACCAGGCAAGGCAACUGCUUUUAUCAUGCUGGACUGAAAGGAAGGCAAGUGAAUGGAUGAAAGCAAUUGUUAACAUUAUGGCAACAACAGGGGCAGACUGGAUAAAAGAACAUCCUCACGGUUCAUAUGCCCCUGUCAGGGAAAACACUUUUGCUCAGUGGUUUGUAGACGGAGAGUCAUACUUUGAUGCUCUGGCAGAUGCUUUGGAGUCUGCAGAAGAAGAAAUCUUCAUCACUGGCUGGUGGGUCAGUCCUGAGAUCUAUCUUCGCCGACCGGUCACUGCUGGCCAUGAGUGGAGACUGGACAACAUCUUAAAGAGAAAAGCGGAGGAGGGAGUGAAAGUUUAUGUUUUGAUUUACAAGGAGGUGGAGCUGGCCCUGACACUGAAUAGUGCGUACACUAAAACAACGUUGAUGAGUUUACACCCAAAUAUAAAGGUUUUGCGCCACCCAGACCACCUCCCUGGGUCGGGUGUCAUAUAUUGGGCUCAUCAUGAAAAGGUAGUGGCUGUGGACCAGAAGAUAGCUUUUAUUGGAGGUCUUGAUCUUUGUUUUGGUCGCUGGGACAACUCUUUACAUCGACUUACCGACUUUGGAUCCGCGAUUCGGCCUCCACCCAUAAACAAAACGGAGCAAGAGAUCAGGAAAAUUGGCGCGAUGAUUGUAGAAGGAACACUUGAACAAUUAAAUUUGCCGGUUUGUCCAGACUUCAAAGACGGAGUAACAGUUGAGCUGGAACCAGGAACAUCUGGAGGAAGUAAAAUGUGGCUUGGAAAGGACUAUUCCAAUCCAAUAACCAGGGAUUUCUUUGACGUCCACAAACCUUAUGAAGACUCUGUUGACAGAGGUUCUGUUCCUCGAAUGCCGUGGCAUGAUGUUGGCAUGCGAAUGUUUGGCGCACCAGCGAGAGACGUUGCAAGGCAUUUCAUUCUUAGAUGGAAUGCUACCAAGAUUGAAAAAGUCAAAAUAAUUCCCGACAUACCUUACCUGCUGCCGAAGUCAUACGCAAAACUUACAAACAAGAGACCAGCGGCAGCAGACAGUGCUAACAUGGUGGAUUGUCAAAUUCUCCGUUCUCUAUCUACGUGGUCAGGCGGUGUCCCCACAGAAAGCUCCAUUCACGAGGCCUAUAUUCAGGCUAUUGAAGAAUCUAAGCACUUCAUUUACAUCGAGAACCAAUUCUUCAUUUCUUCUCUGUUCAUCGACAACAUCAAGAAUGAGAUCGGUCAGAAUCUACUCUGGCGAAUAGAGAGGGCGCACAGAGAAGGUGAAAAGUUUAAAGUUAUUGUCGUCAUGCCGCUGCUUCCAGCAUUUGAAGGCGAAAUUGGCACAGCCAGUGGUCGAUCAAUUGGUGCUAUUACUCACUGGAAUUGCAGAUCAAUUUGCCGAGCAUCUCAUUCGCUGCUACAGAGAUUGGCCGAACUUGUUGGUGACCCCUCCAAGUAUAUUUCAUUCUAUGGACUGAGGACUCAUUCGGAAAUACACGGAACGCCCGCAACAGAGUUAGUUUAUGUUCAUAGCAAGAUGAUGAUUGUCGACGACAACAUCGUAAUCAUUGGUUCAGCCAACAUCAAUGACCGCAGCAUGCUGGGAAAGAGGGAUUCAGAAAUAGCUGCUAUUAUAAAGGACAGAGAAUUUGUACCGUCAGUUAUGGACGGUAAGGAGUACCAAGCUGGCCAGUUCGCCUUCAAUCUGAGAUCACGGCUCUUCAGAGAACAUCUUGGUACAUUGGAUUGUCCUUCAGAUGAAGACAUAAGGGAUGUUGUUUCAGACAGUUUUUAUGAGAAAUUGUACUCUAGGCACAGGAGUUUGGAAGAUUUGUUUUGUUUCUGAAAACAGGAUGUUUGGAUGGCCACAGCAAAGAAAAACACAGAAAUUUACGAGGAGGUGUUCCACUGCAUUCCAACUGAUACUGUACGCUCGUUAAGCG
RNAcentral lists this unclassified non-coding RNA (3587 nucleotides) under Orbicella faveolata. Its description in RNAcentral is "phospholipase D1-like, transcript variant X3". Lineage: Eukaryota; Metazoa; Cnidaria; Anthozoa; Scleractinia; Merulinidae. The record is from RNAcentral.